RNAcentral lists this ribosomal RNA (497 nucleotides) under uncultured bacterium. Its description in RNAcentral is "partial 16S ribosomal RNA". It matches the Rfam family "Bacterial small subunit ribosomal RNA", at positions 28 to 507 of the family's 1533-position model. The record is from RNAcentral.
GAUGAACGCUGGCGGCGUGCCUAAUACAUGCAAGUCGAGCGAACAGACGAGGAGCUUGCUCCUCUGACGUUAGCGGCGGACGGGUGAGUAACACGUGGAUAACCUACCUAUAAGACUGGGAUAACUUCGGGAAACCGGAGCUAAUACCGGAUAAUAUAUUGAACCGCAUGGUUCAAUAGUGAAAGACGGUUUUGCUGUCACUUAUAGAUGGAUCCGCGCCGCAUUAGCUAGUUGGUAAGGUAACGGCUUACCAAGGCAACGAUGCGUAGCCGACCUGAGAGGGUGAUCGGCCACACUGGAACUGAGACACGGUCCAGACGCCUACGGGAGGCAGCAGUAGGGAAUCGUCCGCAAUGGGCGAAAGCCUGACGGAGCAACGCCGCGUGAGUGAUGAAGGUCUUCGGAUCGUAAAACUCUGUUAUUAGGGAAGAACAAAUGUGUAAGUAACUAUGCACGUCUUGACGGUACCUAACCAGAAAGCCACGGCUAACUACGUG